CCUGGGUGGCCAAGCGGUAAGGCAACGGUUUUUGGUACCGUCAUCCCUGGUUCGAAUCCAGGCGGUCCA
This 69-nucleotide transfer RNA is filed under the name Rhizobium leguminosarum. RNAcentral's name for it is "tRNA-Gln". The stretch from base 6 to 63 matches the Rfam family "tRNA", at positions 7 to 64 of the family's 71-position model. Rfam says of the family: Transfer RNA (tRNA) molecules are approximately 80 nucleotides in length. Their secondary structure includes four short double-helical elements and three loops (D, anti-codon, and T loops). Further hydrogen bonds mediate the characteristic L-shaped molecular structure. tRNAs have two regions of fundamental functional importance: the anti-codon, which is responsible for specific mRNA codon recognition, and the 3' end, to which the tRNAs corresponding amino acid is attached (by aminoacyl-tRNA synthetases). tRNAs cope with the degeneracy of the genetic code in two manners: having more than one tRNA (with a specific anti-codon) for a particular amino acid; and 'wobble' base-pairing, i.e. permitting non-standard base-pairing at the 3rd anti-codon position. Lineage: Bacteria; Pseudomonadati; Pseudomonadota; Alphaproteobacteria; Hyphomicrobiales; Rhizobiaceae. The record is from RNAcentral.